CGAGAAUUUUUAUAGAAAAAUAUGACGUAGCUUAUCGUCGACUGAUUUCAAUCUACGAAUAGAUUUUUUCUAGAGAUUUUUAUAGAUUUAUAGAGAAACAACUAUGCGUUAAUAUAUCAUUUCAUAGCUGAAUCAACUCUUAAUUACACCGAAGAGAAUGCAUAGACAUCAAAGUGUUUGUAAUUCACGAAACAGUUAGGAGUUCCUCGAAGUUUCCGUUGAAAACCAGCUGGAUCAAUGGAACGUUAUCGGGUCUCGCCACGGUUCUGAAUCAGGAAAUCUCACGAACUAACGCUCUGAUGCACCUUGCCGUCAGAAGCGGGUCAGACUUCUCGGACUCGUCGUUGAAGGUCUGCGAGCCACGAGACAUGGUGUUCCUACGGGGUGUCGUGGUGCCAUCCUGCGAGGGGCGAACAAACUCGAUUCUGCCACCCUCGACGACGAUGUUCGGGGCUGGUGGAAAAUUCUCUGCGUUACCGAGCGGGUCGCAGUAGCCUAGGAGCCCGGCUUUCUCCCCGUACAGGGGGUGAAUUUGUCUGC
This 540-nucleotide unclassified non-coding RNA is filed under the name Bombus terrestris (buff-tailed bumblebee). Its description in RNAcentral is "misc RNA ENSBTSG00005025294.1". The record is from RNAcentral. Lineage: Eukaryota; Metazoa; Arthropoda; Insecta; Hymenoptera; Apidae.